RNAcentral lists this ribosomal RNA (510 nucleotides) under uncultured bacterium. Its description in RNAcentral is "bacterial SSU rRNA". It matches the Rfam family "Bacterial small subunit ribosomal RNA", at positions 18 to 518 of the family's 1533-position model. The record is from RNAcentral.
UCUGGCUCAGAACGAACGCUGGCGGCGCGUUUAAGCAUGCAAGUCGAGCGGCAAGGGCCUUCGGGCCCCUAGAGCGGCGGACGGGUGAGUAACACGUGGACAAUCUGCCCCCCGGCCCGGGAUAGCCCAGGGAAACCUGGAUUAAUACCGGAUGAGACGGGACCCGCGAUGGCGGGAUCCGGGAAAGGCGCUGCGGCGCCGCCGGGGGAUGAGUCUGCGUCCCAUUAGCUAGACGGCGGGGUAACGGCCCACCGUGGCGACGAUGGGUAGCCGGCCUGAGAGGGUGGACGGCCACAUUGGAACUGAGACACGGUCCAGACUCCUACGGGAGGCAGCAGCUAAGAAUCUUCCGCAAUGGGCGAAAGCCUGACGGAAGCGACGCCGCGUGAACGAAGAAGGCCGUGAGGUUGUAAAGUUCUUUUCGGGAGGGGGAACAACCGUGGCAGGGAAUGGCCGCGGGAUGACGUGAAUCCCGGAAUAAGCCCCGGCUAACUACGUGCCAGCCGCCGC